This 69-nucleotide transfer RNA is filed under the name Megachasma pelagios. RNAcentral describes it as "tRNA-Ala". It matches the Rfam family "tRNA". From Rfam's summary of the family: Transfer RNA (tRNA) molecules are approximately 80 nucleotides in length. Their secondary structure includes four short double-helical elements and three loops (D, anti-codon, and T loops). Further hydrogen bonds mediate the characteristic L-shaped molecular structure. tRNAs have two regions of fundamental functional importance: the anti-codon, which is responsible for specific mRNA codon recognition, and the 3' end, to which the tRNAs corresponding amino acid is attached (by aminoacyl-tRNA synthetases). tRNAs cope with the degeneracy of the genetic code in two manners: having more than one tRNA (with a specific anti-codon) for a particular amino acid; and 'wobble' base-pairing, i.e. permitting non-standard base-pairing at the 3rd anti-codon position. The record is from RNAcentral. Lineage: Eukaryota; Metazoa; Chordata; Chondrichthyes; Lamniformes; Megachasmidae.
GAGGUUUUAGCUUAAUGAAAGUAUCUGGGUUGCAUUCAGAAGAUGUGAGGUAAAGUCUUACAAAUCUUA